This 979-nucleotide small RNA is filed under the name Pan troglodytes (chimpanzee). RNAcentral's name for it is "processed transcript". The record is from RNAcentral. Lineage: Eukaryota; Metazoa; Chordata; Mammalia; Primates; Hominidae.
AUUCAGUUCAGACUGCCAGUCUCCUCUAACACUGGAUUUACUGGGGCUGGCUGUUGCACUUCCCUCAGCUGCUUCUCGGAGGUCCUGGCUUCUCCUCGCCCUCCUGUUUGCCCUCAGUCAGCGUUCAGUGUAGUGCACAGUGUCUGACACCACACUGACCGUGUGGUCUGACCAGCAGAACCCAACAGGAGCGGCAGGAGCGGUUGCUUCCUGCAUUCCAGGCUCUGUCCUGCUUCAACUGAAGACUGUUCUGAGACUAAUCAGGGACCCAAACUGAUGCAGACAGAAAUCUCCGUGGCAGAUCAGGAAGGGAAAAUGUCAGUGUGGUUGAAUUUACCAGGCAUGAGUCACGUCCUGGUAAAUGAAUACAUUUGGGGAUGGAAGAGAGACACCGUCUUUCCAGUAUUCCAAGUGGAGAAAUACUGUUUCACUGGAUACCUGAGUAACUGCUGCACAGACCACGCUAUGCAUGUAUGAUCAGGUCUGCAAGCUGAACAGAUGCUCUCACGUGUCAUCUCUUAGAGGACCGCCUCUUUUUCGUCAUGGAAUAUGUAAAUGGUGGAGACCUCAUGUUUCAGAUUCAGCGCUCCCGAAAAUUCGACGAGCCUCGUUCACGGUUCUAUGCUGCAGAGGUCACAUCAGCCCUCAUGUUCCUCCACCAGCAUGGAGUCAUCUACAGGGAUUUGAAACUGGACAACAUCCUUCUGGAUGCAGAAGGUCACUGCAAGCUGGCUGACUUCGGGAUGUGCAAGGAAGGGAUUCUGAAUGGUGUGACGACCACCACGUUCUGUGGGACUCCUGACUACAUAGCUCCUGAGAUCCUGCAGGAGUUGGAGUACGGCCCCUCCGUGGACUGGUGGGCCCUGGGGGUGCUGAUGUACGAGAUGAUGGCUGGACAGCCUCCCUUUGAGGCCGACAAUGAAGACGACCUAUUUGAGUCCAUCCUCCAUGACGACGUGCUGUACCCAGUCUGGCUCAG